AUGAACGCUGGCGGCGUGCCUAAUACAUGCAAGUCGAGCGAACGGACGAGAAGCUUGCUUCUCUGAUGUUAGCGACGGACGGGUGAGUAACACGUGGAUAACCUACCUAUAAGACUGGGAUAACUUCGGGAAACCGGAGCUAAUACCGGAUGAUAUUUUGAACCGCAUGGUUCAAAAGUGAAAGACGGUCUUGCUGUCACUUAUAGAUGGAUCCGCGCUGCAUUAGCUAGUUGGUAAGGUAAUGGCUUACCAAGGCAACGAUGCAUAGCCGACCUGAGAGGGUGAUCGGCCACACUGGAACUGAGACACGGUCCAGACUCCUACGGGAGGCAGCAGUAGGGAAUCUUCCGCAAUGGGCGAAAGCCUGACGGAGCAACGCCGCGUGAGUGAUGAAGGUCUUCGGAUCGUAAAACUCUGUUAUUAGGGAAGAACAUAUGUGUAAGUAACUGUGCACAUCUUGACGGUACCUAAUCAGAAAGCCACGGCUAACUACGUG
RNAcentral lists this ribosomal RNA (496 nucleotides) under uncultured bacterium. RNAcentral describes it as "partial 16S ribosomal RNA". It matches the Rfam family "Bacterial small subunit ribosomal RNA", at positions 29 to 507 of the family's 1533-position model. The record is from RNAcentral.